UCGUGGGUGAUUGCGAAUCUGAAGGAAGUCGGCGGCAAAUCUCUGGUCUGACGAACAGAAAUCACAUCAGGCAUCGGUUAAGGAUAAGGCUACUAAUCAAGUCAAAGUCCAAUAACUACUCGGAAUUAACCGCCGUAAAUGUGGCAGAUAGAUGGAGAGAAGGAUUGCGUU
Clostridiales bacterium 38-18 is the source of this 171-nucleotide non-coding RNA. NCBI's taxonomy places the organism in Bacteria, Bacillati, Bacillota, Clostridia, Eubacteriales. The record is from Rfam.